Non-coding RNA from Cherax quadricarinatus, 730 nucleotides. The record is from RefSeq and is a predicted model, not a curated record. Lineage: Eukaryota; Metazoa; Arthropoda; Malacostraca; Decapoda; Parastacidae.
UUCCAUAGGUUUCACUUGACAGUGUGGACAACAGUAUCUUCGUUCCGUCCUUUUUAAGUGUUUUGUGGUCUUAGGUGUAGUAGAUUGUGCCGAAAAGUGUGACGAUUGUGGAGGUGGCAGCCGUGAUCCACACCUGGCACCCUACCCCUUACGCCCCAGCAGUUUGUGUCCGCCUGCCGAGCGCUGUGUACUUUGCAUUCACCUCUCCUAUUUUAUUUUGAAGUCUCUAGUAAUUGUACUCAGUUAUCACUUGUGAGGAUAUAUUCGUUACUAGACCGUGCUUUAUACAAUACUCUGCCUUGUAUCUUUGGCGAACACCAAGCUGUCAGCUGUUUUACGAUUACAUGGUAUAUAUACUAGGCUGAUAUUUGGUGGCAUAAAGUGAGUGGGACAAAACUGUUGUUAGAAAUAGUAAUUUUAGCAGAUGUGUGUAUUGGAGAGCCAGAAUCACGAGUGCCACCUGGUAAGGGCCGUCUUCUGACAUCUCAAGCACCGUCGCCGCCACCACACUCCACCAUGAUCUCCGUGGCCGGGAUUUUCAACUUCAUAUACAACCCCUCUGUUGGUGCUGUUCAUUUCGGCGCACUUAUUAGUAGGUGGAGCACUGACGUUUGGUGCGGGUGUGUAUGCUGGCAUCUACAUCACCCAGAACUACGAUGUACCCCGUAUUGAUGAACCAUCCAAACUCUGGGAAAAGGUCAAAGAAUGGACAGAAUCACAUAAGAAGAAG